This 290-nucleotide ribosomal RNA is filed under the name uncultured bacterium. RNAcentral's name for it is "partial 16S ribosomal RNA". It matches the Rfam family "Bacterial small subunit ribosomal RNA", at positions 531 to 819 of the family's 1533-position model. The record is from RNAcentral.
UGGACAGUCGCUUGUCCGGAUUUACUGGGUGUAAAGGGUGCGUAGGCGGCUUUGCAAGUCAGAUGUGAAAUCUAUGGGCUCAACCCAUAAACUGCAUUUGAAACUGUAGAGCUUGAGUGAAGUAGAGGCAGGCGGAAUUCCCCGUGUAGCGGUGAAAUGCGUAGAGAUGGGGAGGAACACCAGUGGCGAAGGCGGCCUGCUGGGCUUUAACUGACGCUGAGGCACGAAAGCGUGGGUACCAAACAGGAUUAGAUACCCUGGUAGUCCACGCUGUAAACGAUGAUUACUAG